This 306-nucleotide long non-coding RNA is filed under the name Lathyrus oleraceus (garden pea). Its description in RNAcentral is "Pisum sativum (pea) long non-coding RNA (PSAT_LNC034806)". Lineage: Eukaryota; Viridiplantae; Streptophyta; Magnoliopsida; Fabales; Fabaceae. The record is from RNAcentral.
UUAUCGCACCUUUGUGAGAUUGAGUUGGGUCACUUCGAGUUGCUGUCGUCUUUAGCUUCAGGAGUCGGAGGUUUAUUUUUGUACCAGAAUUGAAGCAUCCAUUUGGAGCAGGUUCUUAUUUAUCGCUUUAUUUAUUUAUCUCCCGCAUCGCUUUUAUUUUAUUUAUUUCCCACAUCACUUUUAUUUUAUUUAUUUCCCGCAUCGCUUUUAUUUUAUUUAUUUCCCGUAUCGCUUUUAUUUUAUUUAUUUCCCGCAUCGUUUUUAUUUUAUUUAUUUCCCGCAUCGCUUUUAUUUUAUUUAUUCCCC